This 478-nucleotide ribosomal RNA is filed under the name uncultured bacterium. RNAcentral's name for it is "partial 16S ribosomal RNA". It matches the Rfam family "Bacterial small subunit ribosomal RNA", at positions 28 to 507 of the family's 1533-position model. The record is from RNAcentral.
GACGAACGCUGGCGGCGUGCUUAACACAUGCAAGUCGAACGGGAUUUAGUAAACAGAAGCCUCGGUGGAAGAUUACUAAUGAGAGUGGCGAACGGGUGAGUAACGCGUGAGCAACCUGCCUAUGACAGUGGGAUAGCCUCGGGAAACCGGGGUUAAUACCGCAUAAAAUCGUAGAAACACAUGUUUUAACGGUCAAAGAUUUAUCGGUCAUAGAUGGGCUCGCGUCUGAUUAGCUAGUUGGUGAGAUAACAGCCCACCAAGGCGACGAUCAGUAGCCGGUCUGAGAGGAUGAACGGCCACAUUGGAACUGAGACACGGUCCAAACUCCUACGGGAGGCAGCAGUGGGGAAUAUUGCACAAUGGGGGAAACCCUGAUGCAGCGACGCCGCGUGAACGAAGAAGGUAUUCGUAUCGUAAAGUUCUGUCCUAUGGGAAGAUAAUGACAGUACCAUAGAAGAAAGCUCCGGCUAAAUACGUG